GAUGAAGAACGUAGCGAAAUGCGAUACGUAAUGUGAAUUGCAGAAUUCAGUGAAUCAUCGAGUCUUUGAACGCACAUUGCGCCCCCUGGUAUUCCGGGGGGCAUGCCUGUCCGAGCGUCAUUACAACCCUCAAGCUCAGCUUGGUGUUGGGCCCCGCCGCCCCGGCGGGCCCUAAAGUCAGUGGCGGUGCCGUCCGGCUCCGAGCGUAGUAAUUCUUCUCGCUCUGGAGGUCCGGUCGUGUGCUCGCCAGCAACCCCCAAUUUUUUUCAGGUUGACCUCGGAUCAGGUAGGGAUACCCGCUGAACUUAAGCAUAUCAUAAGCGGAGGA
Molecule: unclassified non-coding RNA, 328 nt
Filed under: soil metagenome
Description: partial contains 5.8S ribosomal RNA, internal transcribed spacer 2, and large subunit ribosomal RNA
Rfam family: 5.8S ribosomal RNA (bases 1-120)
Source: RNAcentral